Molecule: long non-coding RNA, 1187 nt
Filed under: Oryza brachyantha (malo sina)
Lineage: Eukaryota; Viridiplantae; Streptophyta; Magnoliopsida; Poales; Poaceae
Description: long non-coding RNA (OBRA_LNC000382)
Source: RNAcentral
GGGCAUAGACACACUGACACAGGACAAGAACAAAAGAAAAUUCCUCCUUAAUUAGGCAGCAGGAGACAUGAUUCUACUAUUUUUUUUCUCUUAAUGCAACAGCUAGCUAAGUAGUAGCAGCUACCUUAGUUACACAACACAAGAGUGGUAUAAAUAUUAUAUAAUCGAUUACUAGCUACAAUAUGUAUGUGUACACUGGCCUUUGGCAGCACACAAGAGUGAUCAUUGUUCAUUACCCCCCUAAGUAAAACAAAGACCAACCAAAUUGCAUUAGUUUAUGGCUAGUGGUGGCCAAAGCAUGAUUAGUUAUAAUACAAACAACCGCAUCAAACACCAGAGAGAGAGAGGAAGUGAAAUGCAGGGAUAGGUUUUUAAAAUGGGCGCCCAAUCCAUUGAGCCACAAUAAGAGAUCAUCUUCAUUAUUUGGGAUCAAAGAAAUCAAUUGUAUAUAUGCAACAUGACCUAAUUUUGCAAGGGCGUUCAUGCAGCAUGCACACACCCCUUUAACAUAGUAAUCAACAUAGAUCUAUAGAAAUCUAGAUAUGUAGCAGUGGUGUCAAAACCAACAAUCUAUAACAACUCCACUAAUAUCAGAUUUGGGUAUCAAAGUUAAGCAAAAGUAGGAGUAACUAAUGGAAAAGAUCAAGACUGUCAAGCAAAAAAUUAAAAAAAAAAUUGGAAAGAAUUGGGUGCUAGAGCUAGUGGUAGAAGGAAGCUGGCUCACCAAGUUGAAUGCUCAAAGAUCCUCUCUUUCUUCUCCCAAUGGCGCCUUCUCAUGCAACGUGUCCAUCACACACCACACCUCUCGAUCUCUUCUUCUUCCUCCUCUGGAUCUCCUCCCAGAUGUACUAGCAAUCAAUCCAACCUCGAGUAGCCAUGAAAAUGGCAGCUAGCUAGGAGCCUAGCACCAUUGCUUGAUCGCUAGCUAGUAGCUAGAGUGCUACUAGAUCGUUCGUUGCAUGCAUGCACUGAGACUAUCAGUUCAUCCUUCGAAAGAUCCGAUCUUUUUGUUUGUGCCAAUGCGAUGGAUCGAGUGGGUAACUUACUUUGCGAUCAAGACGCCAUUAAUGGAGCUCUCGAGGUCGGACGGCGCCGCUGUUGAUCACUUGCGGAGUGCGCCAUUGCCGCUGCGCGCGGUUAAUGGCUGAAGGCUGAAGCUACUGUGGCUGCCACGACGAGACCGACAU